UACCUCAAGUCAAGUAAGAAUACCCGCUGAACUUAAGCAUAUCAAUAAGCGGAGGAAAAGAAACUAACUAGGAUUCCCUUAGUAACGGCGAGUGAACUGGGAAAAGCUCAAAUUUUAAAUCACCUCGGUGAAUUGUAAUUUGAAGAAAGUGUUUUGACUUUUCAGUUUAAUCUAAAUCCUUUGGGAUGAGGUAUCAUAGAGGGUGAGAAUCCCGUUCUUGAUUAAACCUCGGAUUGCACUAAAUUCACUUUCCAAGAGUCGAGUUGUUUGGGAUUGCAGCUCCAAAUGGGUGGUAAAUUUCACCUAAGGCUAAAUAUAUGCAAGAGACCGAUAGCGAACAAGUACCGUGAGGGAAAGAUGAAAAGUACUUUGAAAAGAGAGUUAAACAGUACGUGAAAUUGUUGAAAGGGAAACGAUUGAAGUCAGUCAUGCUAGUGAGGAAUCAACUUGGUGGUUUACUUCCUUGUGCAUUUUCUCGCUUGGCAGGUUAGCAUCAAUUUUGGUUGUCAUCAAAGAAUUGGGGGAAUGUGACUUUUCUUCGGUAAAGUGUUAUAGACCCUGAUUGAUGUGGCGACUGGGAUUGAGGUUUGCAGCGGAUGCCUCUUGUGGCUAGUCACCUGUCUUCUGACCGUCACCUCGUUUUUAACAGCUUGCUGAUGAUUGCGGGAUUUGGCGAUCUAGGAGUUAGAGUGAACAUAAAUUCGCUAAGGAUGCUGACGUAAUGGCUUUAAACGACCCGUCUUGAAACACGGACCAAGGAGUCUAACAUAUGUGCGAGUGUUU
This 783-nucleotide ribosomal RNA is filed under the name Acaulospora brasiliensis. Its description in RNAcentral is "eukaryotic LSU rRNA". It matches the Rfam family "Eukaryotic large subunit ribosomal RNA", at positions 1 to 695 of the family's 3401-position model. Lineage: Eukaryota; Fungi; Glomeromycota; Glomeromycetes; Diversisporales; Acaulosporaceae. The record is from RNAcentral.